This 1301-nucleotide ribosomal RNA is filed under the name metagenome. Its description in RNAcentral is "bacterial LSU rRNA". It matches the Rfam family "Bacterial large subunit ribosomal RNA", at positions 1635 to 2925 of the family's 2925-position model. The record is from RNAcentral.
UACACGACCGUACCGCAAACCGACACUGGUGCGCGAGAUGAGUAUUCUAAGGCGCUUGAGAGAACUCAGGAGAAGGAACUCGGCAAAUUGACACCGUAACUUCGGAAGAAGGUGUGCCUUUAGUAGGUGAAGGGAUUUACUCCUAGAGCCCAAUGAGGUUGCAAAAAAUCGGUGGCUGCGACUGUUUAUUAAAAACACAGCACUCUGCAAACACGAAAGUGGACGUAUAGGGUGUGACGCCUGCCCGGUGCUGGAAGAUUAAAUGAUGGGGUGCAAGCUCUUGAUUGAAGUCCCAGUAAACGGCGGCCGUAACAAUAACGGUCCUAAGGUAGCGAAAUUCCUGGUCGGGUAAGUUCCGACCUGCACGAAUGGCGUAACGAUGGCCACACUGUCUCCUCCUGAGACUCAGCGAAGUUGAAAUGUUUGUGAUGAUGCAAUCUCCCCGCGGAAAGACGGAAAGACCCCAUGAACCUUUACUGUAGCUUUGUAUUGGACUUUGAACAGAUCUGUGUAGGAUAGGUGGGAGGCUUUGAAGUAGGGUCGCUAGAUCUUAUGGAGCCAACGUUGAAAUACCACCCUGGUGUGUUUGAGGUUCUAACCUAGGUCCAUUAUCUGGAUCGGGGACAGUGCAUGGUAGGCAGUUUGACUGGGGCGGUCUCCUCCCAAAGCGUAACGGAGGAGUUCGAAGGUACGCUAGUUACGGUCGGACAUCGUGACGAUAGUGCAAUGGCAUAAGCGUGCUUAACUGCGAGACUGACAAGUCGAGCAGAUGCGAAAGCAGGACAUAGUGAUCCGGUGGUUCUGUAUGGAAGGGCCAUCGCUCAACGGAUAAAAGGUACUCUGGGAUAACAGGCUGAUACCGCCCAAGAGUUCAUAUCGACGGCGGUGUUUGGCACCUCGAUGUCGGCUCAUCUCAUCCUGGGGCUGUAGCCGGUCCCAAGGGUAUGGCUGUUCGCCAUUUAAAGAGGUACGUGAGCUGGGUUUAAAACGUCGUGAGACAGUUUGGUCCCUAUCUUCCGUGGGCGCUGCAGAUUUGAGGAAGCCUGCUCCUAGUACGAGAGGACCGGAGUGGACACACCUCUGGUGUAUCGGUUGUCACGCCAGUGGCAUUGCCGAGUAGCUAAGUGUGGAAGAGAUAACCGCUGAAAGCAUCUAAGCGGGAAACUCGUUUCAAGAUGAGAUCUGCCGGGGCCUUGAGCCCCCUAAAGAGUCGUUCAAGACCAGGACGUUGAUAGGUCGGGUGUGGAAGCGCAGUAAUGCGUUAAGCUAACCGAUACUAAUUGCUCGUGCGGCUUGACCCU